This is a long non-coding RNA of Chroicocephalus ridibundus (black-headed gull), 2508 nucleotides long. RefSeq lists it as uncharacterized. Lineage: Eukaryota; Metazoa; Chordata; Aves; Charadriiformes; Laridae. The transcript is spliced from 3 exons. The record is from RefSeq and is a predicted model, not a curated record.
UUGUCCAGUGAAAGUCAGUAUCGUUAAUGUUAAUGCAUUCAGGAUCACAUGUAUUUGUAGAUUUGUGUCCUUUUAAUAAUCCUUUUUUUUAAACAAAUCCCAAAGAUUCUUAGUAAACCACUUCAGAGAUGAAUAUUAGCAGAACGAGGAGAAAAGUAAGAGCAAGAGACAAGGGAUCCCAGAUAUGUAUUUCACUGAAAAUUGACAUUAGAGAGUUGAUAGAAGAAUACAAGAGCGUUGUUCCAGAUGGCAGGAACUGCAGAGGAGGAAGAGCAGCAAGAAGCAACGAAGGGAAGCUAACGAUAGAUGAAGUCGGAUGAGAAACAGACACUCGGAGGCACGCAUCCAAUUCUUCAGGCCCUGAAGCAUAACACAGAGCAGCUACGGAGGAAGAACUUGAAGAAAGGCGAGAGGCAAUGGCCAGUAACUGGGAGUGUCCUGCCUCAUGAGCUCGCCCAGCGAGGGGUGGCUCAGCAGCAGCACCCUUGGCUGAUGGAUGUUUUCAGCACACAACGGUCCAUACAGUACAAUAAAGUAAAAUAGAAUACAAUACCACCUAGUGGUAAGAGCUUGGAUCUCAAAGCAUGGUGUAGAAAAAAAUUCAUAGCACAGCUGGGCACAGAAAUGCCCCAGCAGUAACCAUUAUUGAAAAGCAGGAAUAAGGGAAAGCUCCAGGAAUGAUUUUUCCACCAUUUCCAUCCUUGUUCCUAGAAAGUGCUGUUCUCAGCUAGGCGUUGUUUAGAAUACAUUUAAGUGAUAUCUUUUGUUAAGGUCAGUAUGUUCCAGUUUGAUCAGCUUGACCAGAAUGGGUUGAAAGUUACAGAGACUGGAGAACGGAGGAGAAGACAACAUUACGCGCUGGAGAAAUCCAGGAUGGGCUCAUGUCUGGAAAUCUUGGGGCAGUUUUUGCCAUUGAAAAUAGUAGUGUCGAAACCCAAAGGUUCAAAGAAGGGGCUACAAGGGCACGGAGGUUUGGGACCAAUUUCACAAGCUACAGUUUUUCACCUCAAAAACAGAGAGGACUAAGAAGAAAAAGAUUAAAUAUUAAAACAGGCAGGAAGAAAGUGAACAACUCCUCCCCCUCUCUUCUGAUACCAGAAUCGGAUGACAUCAAAUGAAAUUAGCAGGGACCAGGUUCAAGACAAGAUGCAAUGGCUGUUUGCACAACAGUUAAUUCGGCAAAGAAGCGUGUAACUCUUUGCCACGUGAUGUAGUGAAUACUGAAAUGCUUACCCCCCCUCAGGAGAGUACUCAGGGCUUCUACGCCAUACUGACAGAGUGCAGUCCGUGACAAUCCUUCCAUGCGCUGGACUUCAAAUGCUCUGUGUUUUCCUGUGCUCGCAGCCUCUCUGCUGCUGGCAAUGGGGCACUCGGCAGAGCUUUGCUGCAGGAACUGCAGCUGCUCCUAGGGGAAAAAAAAUUGUGUUUAAGUAUGAAAAACAAAAUUCAGAAACAAAAACACAGUGUGCAAAGAUAUAUAGAUAAACAUACCUAGCUACGAUUUUUAUUGUCAGCUGAUCCUGAAGAGUUGUUUUCAAAGUUUUAGAAUAGGAAAUCACUGGGAAUUCACUGGGUAACAAAACAAGAAAAUCUGAAGUAACAUCAUCUUGCAAAAAUUAAUCUUGGCUCCAAGCUCAUUUUACAUAACAUAGGUUGGUUGCUCAUUCACUGAAUAUUUUCAUUAUGCGCUUCUGUAGGGAAGAUGAUUUGUAGCCAUAUUUAUUUGAAGACUAUAUUACAAUGAAUAGUGUAAAUAAUGUAUAUGAGAAGGCAGGGUAGGAUUGCCUGGCAGCCUUCAAUCUGCCAUUCCCCUGACUGCUAACUUGGCAACCUUAACAUGGCUCUUUGUGUGGGACAAAUUAUAAACCAAAUAGUCCCGAGGUAAGGCUUUCAUUGCCUACACAGUACUGAAUCUAUUUAUUUUUCAAUUCCAUUCAAGUCCCAAGUGCUGUCAGAGUGCCAAAGUUUCAGUCAAUGUGAUUUUUCAUACUGCAAAUCUUCUUUGUUUAGUUUAAAAUGGAGCUGUCACAACCCUCGCAAUGACUGGGGCAGUGCUUUUUACAAAGAUAUCAAAAACUAUUAGAACUUCCCAAAGUCUCCUGAAAAUUUCCACAGGGGGAUGAGGCCGUUGAGGUGCAGAGUCACAUCCAGCAUCAGCUUCUCUGGAGACUGACAGAGGACCUUACCAUAUCUUGAGCCUUUCUCCUUCAGUCUGGUGGUUUAGCAGGUGACUUGGUGCCCAACGAGAGAUGCAACGAGCACGUCACGUAGCCAAGAACCUGAAGGUCCCUCUGCAAAAGCAUCACCUGAAAGCAAGGGCUCUGCCGGUUCCCCUCAGCGUGCACCUUCAGCAACACCAAGCACGGUAACUCUUCAUGGUGUCUCAGCAUCGACUCGCUGUAAUGGAGGAAUAUUACUCCUUAAUGCACAUUGUCCGCCUUCCAAGGUGCUUUCAAAGGCUUUUUCUCCCCUUUGUCUCUGGGCAGGCGGUGGUUUGCCUGGGAGUUG